RNAcentral lists this long non-coding RNA (1113 nucleotides) under Oryzias sinensis (Chinese medaka). Its description in RNAcentral is "lncRNA (ENSOSIG00000015774.1)". The record is from RNAcentral. Lineage: Eukaryota; Metazoa; Chordata; Actinopteri; Beloniformes; Adrianichthyidae.
AUGAGGUGGAGAACACCUGCAAGCAGUUUUUCGAUUACACAACACUUGAAACGAUCAAAGGGUUUGUUUAUUAAGGUGAAUAUACAUUUAUUUAACUGUGUCUUUGAAUUACCAGUGGAAACGACUGGAGACAGCCACUCGGCAGCAAACCAGGACACCGAGCAACCGUGCGUUCCAGUGAACAUGGGUGAGGAGGAGCAGGGCUCCGUGGCAGAGGCCUCCUACUAUUCCUACGAGUAUGACUCAGACUCUGAGCCUUUCCUGGCUGAUGCUGAAGGAGGGGACCGCAUUGACCUAGAGCCUAAAAUGUUCCUACCAGCAGACGCCCAGCCUCCCACGUUGGACACAAAAAGCACUCCUGAACGAUGGUAUGGUCACAAGCAGCACUUCUCCUCUCCUAAAUGUGCGAUUGCUCUCGGUGCAGACCUCACGAGUGUCCUUGUUUUUGUUGUCAUCCUCAGAGACGCCCCAUGCUAAAGCUCCGCCUCUCCUCCAAAUUGUAUCAUACAUGUGAAUAAGCUUGUGAAUGAAAGAGAAGUGCGACUGAGGACUCGCCUGGAGGAAGAGUUUGCUCUUGGAGAAUGAUUGUGUUUCUGUAGUUCGGAUGCUUUAAUGUUUGCUCUUGUCUGCAGUGGGUUGAUUGUGAAAUGUUGUCAAAAAAAAUAAAGAUAGAAACCUUUAGAUUUGUACUUAUCAUCAUCUACAAUCCUAGUCACCAAUAAGCACCGUAGCGUUUUUGUUUUAUUCACUGUCUGCCUUUUAUCUUCUCUAGAAGAAAUAAUCGAGUAUUUAUGUUUGUAAUUACACCUGAUGUUAAGCAAACAUGUUGUUAUAUUUUCUAUCUGUGGUAUUUAUUUGUAUCUACAGGUCAUAUUUUCUAUUUUGUUGUGGUCAUUUUGAGUCGUCCCUCUGCCGUUCAGUCCACCAAUUUCCCCUGCGGUCGAUUCGAGGAGCAUUUUCCGUGAUGGCAAGCUUUAACCCAAUUCCUGAAAGUUUGAGGAAAUUCUUGUGACGGUUUGAUGCAGGAAACAAAACACAGAUGCUCACCAGAUGCUUUACAGGAACAUGCGCUGAUGUGCUUUUCAUUUUCAAGAUUUUUGGAAUUUUUCUGGC